This 4192-nucleotide long non-coding RNA is filed under the name Panax ginseng (ginseng). Its description in RNAcentral is "long non-coding RNA (PGIN_LNC000110)". Lineage: Eukaryota; Viridiplantae; Streptophyta; Magnoliopsida; Apiales; Araliaceae. The record is from RNAcentral.
CCUAAUUGGCCAGACUAUUCUAUUUCCAUAAACUUCUGUUACAUGAAAGUAAUUCUCCUGUAUAACCCGUAGUUCAAAACAACAGAUGGAUAUGAGUAUGAACCAUUCAAUCGAAUUCUUAAACUACAAAUCAUCCAGAUGUAUACUAUAAGUUAGAUAUACGAAAAAUAGACGACCAAUAUGUGUAGUAUUCAUACAAAUAUAAGAAUAAAAUAGCAACGUAUGCUUGUAUUUAUAUCAAGCACCACAUAAUCUAAUUCAACAUUUUUUUUCCAGUUACAUUCUGAGUAUGUAUAUGUUAAUCAUUGUAGAUAGAAACAUACCUAAAGGCUCAAAGGAUUCAACCAGAAAUGAGCAUGAGGCAAAGUCUCUGAUCCCACCAAGGAACAUCAGAAUAUACAUGAACGUUUUCUCCUAUUCAAUAAUGAGACCUAUAAGGAGAAACCAGCCAAGAUGAUAUCAUUGGCCUCUAAUUAAUACGCAAAAAUAAUUGUGGACAACUUCAAAAUUUCCAAGAUUAGUAGCAGCUUACAAUAAUUUCAUUUAAUUUUUGUUUUAUAGAUAAAACAUCAGCUUAUAAUUUAAGAAAUAGGAAAAGGUCAGAUAGGAAAGAACUGAUGAAGCUUACGUCAACAGGGUUGUAGCAAAUUAGACCAUCAAUAUAUACGAAGAGUUCAAAAUAUUCUGAAAAGAGGAUUAAAUCAUCAUAUGUAAUGACCACCUCCAGAUACCAUGGAAUGAUUUGAAAUAAUGCAUUGGGAAUUAUUAUUUAAUUAAUAGCAUCUAAAUGAAGUGUUAUUUCAUGUACAUUAUACAUCUAUAUGUGUUUAAAUACACGCUGUUUGUUCAAUAAAUUUACUUUCUCGUUUAAUAUUCUUAUUGUUAUACUCUACUUCUACAUAUAAGGUUAUUUGUAUUCUAAAAUUACUUUCUGAAUUUCCUAUAUUAGAAUUCCAGCUGUCUGGUUUUCUAUUUAGACCGCCAAACCCCAAAUUCCUCUUCUAAUUUUAACUCUACUAGUUACCAAGCAGUAAUAUCUAUUUCUUCAGAAACCUUAACCAUACUAAUUUACCAAAAUCUUGAUCUACAAAGAAGCUAAGAAUAUAGAGGUAGGUGCUGAACUGGCAACCAGAAUAUAAACAAAAGAAGGCAAACUUUUUUAAACCACCCAAUAUUGGCUGUAAUCAAAUCCAGCGCAGUGCUCUACCGCGAGUAUGUCUGUGCUUUCUUGCCAACAAGUGGGGGUUAAAAGCUUUUUACAUCACUAAACUGGGGUUCGACUUACAAUUGCAUCAUUGAACUCAAUUUUUUACAGUAAACUCAUUGAGCUACAAUUAUUUUACAAAAUACUGAUAAAACAGUUUAUCUUUGUUAUGUUUUAACAGAAGAAUGACGUUGCAUGGUGAGGUGUCUAAUUAAAGUAUACAAAUCAGAUGAUAAUUUUGUCCCAAUUUAGGUGACAAGAUGAUUCUGUUAAAACCCAUCCAAAACCCAUGACCCAUACAGUAUCUGGUUUCAUAUUUAUCUCCGGUCUCCCCCUUCCAAUCUCUCUCCGACCUACACUUCACCUCCAGAAAACAUGAAGCUCUAAUUGCUCAAAGAACCAUUUCUAAUUAUAGAAGGCAUCUCUAAAAAGAAGAAGACGAUCUUAUCUCUAAUUGUCAUGUCUCUCCAUAUCUUCUUCUGACUUCUACCUUUGUUAUUCUUCUCCAAUGUUCAAUGAAACCAAAAUUAGUCACAAGAUUAAGAUAUGUAAAAUAUGAUUUUUACCAUUUUUAACCUGCCUCAUAUGCUUAAAGAAUUACACUCUUCUGCUUUCUCAUUCCUAAAACCCAAUUAAUUUCGUAAUUAGAGAAAUAAUUGAAAAACUAACCUAGACUCAUUUUGGAUAGUAAUUUAAUAAAAUAACUUACAAAGUCUUUUUCUCUUAUAAUCCCAAUUUCUCACUCCUGGGUCUCACUCUUUCUCAAAAUUAGUCUCCAUUACUUUCGGCCAAGAAUCGCAUUCAUUUUGCCGAAUCGCUCCAAACCCAAACCGAUAUAUAUUAUGUAUAUAGUAUAUAUAGAUUCUGGAAGAAAAUCAAACAAAAAGAAGAAGCUUUAGAGAAUAGGGAGGAAAAGUUAGGCCACCGUCUCUCUACAAUCACCCAACUCCCUCUAACAGUUGGAGCUUGGGAUUUUCUAAGCUUGGCCAUUGUGGUGAAGACAAUGGUGGCUAUUGGUAGUGGUGACAGUGGUGGACCGGUGGUAGUGGUGAUACCAGUGGUGGUUGGUGGUAGUGGUGACAGUUUCGACAAAGUAAUUCCACUAAGGCAUGUCACAUGGAUGAACAUAAUAAAAAUAAGGUUCCUUUUCCUCACAUGCGGAUCACGUGUAAUGCUGCUGUUUAAAGUCAACAAUUUCAACGGAUUUUGUAAAGUUUUGUAAAAAAAUCAAGUUUAGUUAGACGAAUGUUAAAAAAAUGAGUUUAAUGAUGCAAUUGUAAUUUGGACCCCAUUUUAGUGAGAUGAAAACAACGUUUAGCCCCCAACAAGUGUCCCGCUUGUAAAUUAAAGUCAUUAUUUAUGUAUUUGCAUCGAUUCUACUAGGGCAAUUCACUAAUCAAAAGUGCAUAAGAACUCCCAUCAGAAGAAUGAUAAAGACAUUAUGGAAUGAUAUUCAAUUAACAGGAACUAAAUAACAAUUUUAGAAGAGAAGCAAGGAAUUUAUCACCUAAAGCUGCCACAAAGGGUUCACAUCCAACAUACGCAAGGACUUCAAAAACAGCCCGUCAUAAAAAGGGUACUAAAUAAUCAGCAAUAUUGAAUCCUACUCCCACACAUUAUAAGAGCUACCCAAUGAAUUUUUGGACUGGAGAGAGGAUAUCAUGACGCACAUAGAAAUUAGGUUAUAAUAAGUAGAUGUUGGACACUAUUAUGAAUUACAGACAAGGAAACAACCAACUCACCACCACUCCCUAUUUUCAUAUAAUAACGGAACGAUGCAUACUUCAAAAUGGAGCACCCAUAAUCAUAUUCGAACCUCUGAGUCCUGUCAGAAAUAACUUGACUUAAGUUGCUAGAUCAAGUGCUACAAUGAUAAUUUAACUGAAAACAAGACAUCAUAUAUGUCUAGCUAAAGCUUAUAAUUUUUUUAAAUUAGUCAAGCAUUAGACAUAUCAUAUAGGGGUGACAGUGACCUAAAUUAAGAAAAUUGAUUUGGAUAGCCAUUUUUAGAUACGAUAUCUAAUUCGCAAUGGCAAACAAUUAAGGUAUGCAUAUCCGUCUCUUCGACACUUCUAUGGACAUGAAUCAAAAUUAAACAAGAUACACAUGCCUCUUAAGGUAUCGCUAUAUUCUCAGCUUUGUAUGAUUAUUUCAUCCUGUAUGCGAAAUUUAUUUCAUCCUUUAUGUGUUACUCCAUUAUGUGAGUUUAUUGUAAUUGUGAUUGCAUAUGAUAAGUUGAUAACAUUAUAAGCUUUCUAAGAGACAGGCACUGCUAUACAUAUCACAUUCGGUGAAUGUGAAGGGUAUAAUGAUGUACUAAUCAUUAAAUGUUUACAAAUAUAUAGAUGUGUGACUUUACUCUUGGGGGAUUAAUUGUUCACUUAUAUCCCCCAUCGAAUUAGAAAAUUUCCAUUUCUUGUGAUAGAUGAAAGUUAACACACUUUUAAACUGAGUUUCAAUUACCAAACAUUUCGAUUCAUGUUAUAAUAUUGAACCAGAGCAUCAUAAAGGAGAAUACAUUUGUAUCUGCCAUAUCCACACAUGUAAAAGGAAAAUGAAAUUAAUAUGAAAACCUGAUUCAUUCUUCACAAGCAGAUCGCUUUCUAAUGAGCAUCGAUCUGAAAGGGAAAAAAAAUUCAUUUCACGCAAUUAGUACAAACUAUGAAAUAAGAAUGGAAUAAUCGCAAGGAAAAACAAGCAGAACCCUAGAAAACAUUUACAUUUCACAUAUGCACCUCACAAUUGAAUGAGCUGAUUCACGGUAGUGCAUUUCUUCAUUUCUAAUCGAACUACAGAUGCGAGAGAGUCUGAGAGAUCUAAAACCUGUUUUUCAAAUUGACAUUUUGGUACUUUUACAACAAAGCUUCUAGUUUCUAAAGUACUUUCUCAUUUUUAAUAGUCCAAUUGUGAAGCUAUCAAUAUACAUGAUAUUUAUAUUUCUUUAUAAAAUGAUAUCGAUAUCAUUUUGAGUCCUGCUCUAUAUAAAUU